AGCACAAGUAGAAGCCGGGGAGACCAUCAGACUGCCUUAGCGUGGUAGUUAGGAGCUUAGAGACCACCAAAAGGACUCAGUCUAUAAUUCUGUGGCACAGUGAGCAGCAUGCCAGCUAUAGACAGGUUUGAGGCAAAGGUGUUGUCAGAGGUGGAAAAAGUAAUGGCAAGGUUGGGGCAGGAGCUUCAUAGUGAAGGUCAAGUUUGGUAGUAUCAGAAAAAUAGGUAAGGGGUGAGGGUGUUAGUCAUUUUUUCUAUUUGGAGACAACAGCUGCUUCCUGUUUCAAAAAAGAUAUUUUUUUGUUUUUGUUUUUAAUUUAAUCUUUACCACUCUUGGAGGGUGACCCCUGAGCUCUCCCUCAUCGACCAACUCGGUCUCCAUCAGCAAGUACUUGGUUCGUCAGUCCUGAGCUGAAUGGCUUGUGUGAGGAGGUUACAGAGGACAGAAAAGAGGUGCGCCUGAGAAGCGCCGCACUCAGAAGCGCCACGGUGGAAUCUGGAACCGGACUGUGGGUCCUGGGAACUCACAGGCGGAAGUCACCCAGCCG
RNAcentral lists this long non-coding RNA (547 nucleotides) under Rattus norvegicus (Norway rat). RNAcentral describes it as "long non-coding RNA NONRATT010701". The record is from RNAcentral. Lineage: Eukaryota; Metazoa; Chordata; Mammalia; Rodentia; Muridae.